RNAcentral lists this transfer RNA (71 nucleotides) under Camponotus atrox. RNAcentral describes it as "tRNA-His". Lineage: Eukaryota; Metazoa; Arthropoda; Insecta; Hymenoptera; Formicidae. The record is from RNAcentral.
AUUUAAGUAGUUUAAAUAAAAAUAUUAAUUUGUGGGGUUAAUGAUAUAAAAAUGAAUAUUUAUCUUAAAUU